GUAUUCUGUAGUAGUAUGAAAAGGUAAAGGCGGCGUACUGCUAUAGUAUCUCUGCAGAAUGUUCGGAGGAGUACACCAACUGAAAGAGGUUUAGGAAAAUUGCAUCGUGGAUCUAGAAUUCUAGAUGCAGUAGUGUAGCCUACAGUAGCCCUGUACACACAUAAAGGCAUUUUUCUUAUAAAAUUGUCUCGCAAAAUGGGAUUUUUUUGUGCUAAUUAUAGGGUGCUUUAGCGCCACCUGGGCCGUAUAGGAUGCUUUAGCGCAACAUUUCUGAACAACCCUAUGCAGCUUCCAUAGACCACCACAGGCAUUCCCGCAUGCAGUUUGCUCUAAAUGCCUCCUUUUCAUUUUUACUAUCCCUGAACGACGACCCAUCUCAGGGAAGUAGCCAUUAAAU
Molecule: long non-coding RNA, 397 nt
Filed under: Zea mays
Lineage: Eukaryota; Viridiplantae; Streptophyta; Magnoliopsida; Poales; Poaceae
Description: long non-coding RNA (ZMAY_LNC002264)
Source: RNAcentral